AACGCUGGCGGCAGGCCUCAACAUGCAAGUCGAGCGGUCCUUCGGGACAGCGGCGAACGGGUUAGUAACGCGUGGGAACGUGCCCUUUAGUACGGAAUAGCCAUUGGAAACGAUGAUUAAUACCGUAUACGCCCCAAGGGGGAAAGAUUUAUCGCUAAAGGAUCGGCCCGCGUUAGAUUAGGUAGUUGGUAGGGUAAUGGCCUACCAAGCCGACGAUCUAUAGCUGGUUUGAGAGGAUGAUCAGCAACACUGGGACUGAGACACGGCCCAGACUUCUACGGAAGGCAGCAGUAGGGAAUCUUGGACAAUGGGCGAAAGCCUGAUCCAGCCAUGCCGCGUGAGUGAUGAAGGCCCUAGGGUUGUAAAGCUCUUUCGCCAGGGAAGAUAAUGACGGUACCUGGUAAAGAAACCCCGGCUAACUCCGUGCC
This 428-nucleotide ribosomal RNA is filed under the name uncultured Alphaproteobacteria bacterium. RNAcentral describes it as "bacterial SSU rRNA". It matches the Rfam family "Bacterial small subunit ribosomal RNA", at positions 32 to 509 of the family's 1533-position model. The record is from RNAcentral. Lineage: Bacteria; Pseudomonadati; Pseudomonadota; Alphaproteobacteria.